Molecule: ribosomal RNA, 238 nt
Filed under: uncultured bacterium
Lineage: Bacteria
Description: partial 16S ribosomal RNA
Rfam family: Bacterial small subunit ribosomal RNA
Source: RNAcentral
CAACGUAAACAACCUGCCUUCAGGAUGGGGACAACAGACGGAAACGACUGCUAAUACCGAAUAAGUUCCAAGGGCCGCAUGGCCCAUGGAAGAAAAGGUGGCCUCUACCUGUAAGCUAUCGCCUGAAGAGGGGUUUGCGUCUGAUUAGCUGGUUGGAGGGGUAACGGCCCACCAAGGCGACGAUCAGUAGCCGGUCUGAGAGGAUGAACGGCCACACUGGAACUGAGACACGGUCCAG